ACUCCUACGGGAGGCAGCAGUGGGGAAUAUUGCACAAUGGGCGCAAGCCUGAUGCAGCCAUGCCGCGUGUAUGAAGAAGGCCUUCGGGUUGUAAAGUACUUUCAGCAGUGAGGAAGGCGAGUACGUUAAUAGCGUGCUCGUUUGACGUUAGCUGCAGAAGAAGCACCGGCUAACUCCGUGCCAGCAGCCGCGGUAAUACGGAGGGUGCGAGCGUUAAUCGGAAUUACUGGGCGUAAAGCGCAUGCAGGUGGUUUGUUAAGUCAGAUGUGAAAGCCCGGGGCUCAACCUCGGAAUUGCAUUUGAAACUGGCAGACUAGAGUACUGUAGAGGGGGUAGAAUUUCAGGUGUAGCGGUGAAAUGCGUAGAGAUCUGAAGGAAUACCGGUGGCGAAGGCGGCCCCCUGGACAGAUACUGACACUCAGAUGCGAAAGCUGGGGAGCAAACAGGAUUAGAUACCCUGGUAGCACAGAG
RNAcentral lists this ribosomal RNA (471 nucleotides) under uncultured bacterium. RNAcentral describes it as "bacterial SSU rRNA". It matches the Rfam family "Bacterial small subunit ribosomal RNA", at positions 335 to 799 of the family's 1533-position model. The record is from RNAcentral.